This 374-nucleotide ribosomal RNA is filed under the name uncultured organism. Its description in RNAcentral is "partial 16S ribosomal RNA". It matches the Rfam family "Bacterial small subunit ribosomal RNA", at positions 527 to 896 of the family's 1533-position model. The record is from RNAcentral.
GUAGGUGGCAAGCGUUGUCCGGGAAUUAUUGGGGCGUAAAGCGCGCGCAGGCGGUUCUUUAAGUCUGAUGUGAAAGCCCACGGCUCAACCGUGGAGGGUCAUUGGAAACUGGAGAACUUGAGUACAGAAGAGGAAAGCGGAAUUCCACGUGUAGCGGUGAAAUGCGUAGAGAUGUGGAGGAACACCAGUGGCGAAGGCGGCUUUCUGGUCUGUAACUGACGCUGAGGCGCGAAAGCGUGGGGAGCAAACAGGAUUAGAUACCCUGGUAGUCCACGCCGUAAAAGAUGAGUGCUAAGUGUUAGGGGGUUUCCGCCCCUUAGUGCUGCAGCUAACGCAUUAAGCACUCCGCCUGGGGAGUACGGCCGCAAAGGCUG